ACUAGUAGAGGAUAGAAAGGCUUCUAUCGCCCUCUUCGAUAAAUCAGGGAGAUGUGGGAAACCGAACGGAUAAGUUACGGAGCUGCCCCACCUACUAGU
This 99-nucleotide non-coding RNA is filed under the name Priestia endophytica. Its description in RNAcentral is "Bacillus endophyticus skipping-rope RNA". It matches the Rfam family "skipping-rope RNA". Rfam says of the family: Firmicutes, Fusobacteria, AlphaProteobacteria, Spirochaetes. Downstream gene Lineage: Bacteria; Bacillati; Bacillota; Bacilli; Caryophanales; Bacillaceae. The record is from Rfam by way of RNAcentral.